This 194-nucleotide ribosomal RNA is filed under the name uncultured bacterium. RNAcentral's name for it is "partial 16S ribosomal RNA". The record is from RNAcentral.
GGAUGCCCUCCGUCGUCAUUCCUUAUAACCAGUUACCCGCCUUGGGACUAGGUCGGUAGGGCGCACACGCUACUUCCGGAAGCCCAACAUUUCGUGAAAACCGUCCCUUCUUUGCCGCGAGGAAUUAUCCCCCGCAGUGACUGCCAUGGACGUCUUAUUCGUGGCCGAUUGAUGCACGGUCGUCGGCGCCAUUA